CACAUACUCCCUCCGUCCAAAAAUACUUGUCAUCAAAAUGGAUAAAAAAGAAUGCAUCUAGAACUAAUAUACAUCUAGAUACAUCCUCUUUUAUUCAUUUUGAUGACAAGUAUUUCUGGACGGAGGUAGUACCUC
Non-coding RNA from Triticum aestivum (bread wheat), 135 nucleotides. NCBI's taxonomy places the organism in Eukaryota, Viridiplantae, Streptophyta, Magnoliopsida, Poales, Poaceae. The record is from Rfam.